RNAcentral lists this ribosomal RNA (323 nucleotides) under uncultured eukaryote. RNAcentral's name for it is "partial 18S ribosomal RNA". It matches the Rfam family "Eukaryotic small subunit ribosomal RNA", at positions 1470 to 1796 of the family's 1831-position model. The record is from RNAcentral.
CCCUUAGAUGUUCUGGGCUGCACGCGUGCUACACUGAUAUUGCCAAUAUGUCAUUCUUAUCCGAAAUGGAUUGGGUAAUCAAGUAAUGAAAUUUCAUGCUUGGAAUCGGUAAUUGCAAUUUUAUCGUGAACGAGGAAUUCCUAGUAAGCACUAGUCAUCAGCUAAUGUUGAUUAUGUCCCUGCCCUUUGUACACACCGCCCGUCGCUACUACUGAUUGGGUGUUCAAGUGAGAUGCUUAGACCCUUGUUGCAUGGUUCAUUAUUGUGCUCCGAAAGGAAAAAGUUUCAAGCGUGAGUGUCUAGAGGAAGUAAAAGUCGUAACA